GUAGGUGAACCUGCGGAAGGAUCAUUAACACAAUACUUUCAAUAUCAACCUAGGAGCACCGUCUGACACUAAGAAAGCGGCCGCUAGGAAGGCAAUGGUUCGAGUUGUCACACACAGCUCGGCUCUCCUAGAUGUUCUCCCUUCCCUCCUACUUUUCUGUUCUACGGCACUGAGAGGAAAGCAACGCGUAACCCGCUUGUGGAAGAGGCGAUAGCUGACUCCUUAGAUGACUACAGCCCGCGCCAUGGCU
RNAcentral lists this unclassified non-coding RNA (250 nucleotides) under plant metagenome. Its description in RNAcentral is "partial contains small subunit ribosomal RNA, internal transcribed spacer 1, and 5.8S ribosomal RNA". The record is from RNAcentral.